Long non-coding RNA from Puntigrus tetrazona (Sumatra barb), 759 nucleotides. RefSeq lists it as uncharacterized. Lineage: Eukaryota; Metazoa; Chordata; Actinopteri; Cypriniformes; Cyprinidae. The transcript is spliced from 2 exons. The record is from RefSeq and is a predicted model, not a curated record.
UGAGAGAGAAGUGCACGUCGACCGACGGAGAACUGAGUUAAAGCGUUGCACAAAGAAAUAGUUGAUAAAACUGUUAAAAGGAGAUAAAUCCCAGUUUAUAUCUACUCAUGAAUGUGUGGGUACAUGGUUUCAUUUGACGAUUACAAAGGAGUUGCCUUAUUGCACGUGAGAGAUCGCCAGUGGGGGAAGGGAAAUUCGGACCACGUUAAUGGAGAUCGAGCAGGGGAGAGCAACGAAAUGUGAGAUCGAGUGUUAAUGACCAUGUGAGCUUUUGCUGUGUGCUUCGUGGAAUCAGUCGGAGUAAGUGUUGCUUAUUUAAUCGUCUCAAAGUCUGUAUCAUUUUGUGUAUUUUCUGAUUAAUAUGCUUAUAAGAAGCUAUAUAUACGCAAAUGGGAUAUGUAUGUUUAUGUUCUUUUUGUUCUUUGUUUGUUUAAACAGGAGAGCACAUAUAGGCCACUGCCGUUGUUUUGUACGCCAUUGUUUUGUACGCCAUUGUUUUGUACGCCGUUGUUUUGUACGCCGUUGUUUUGUACGCCGUUUUUCCGUUUUUGUAACCUUGUUUGCACCGGGUAAAAUUGAAGGGCCUGUAAUCCUGUGAAACCUCGUCAGGAAAGUUAAGACCACUGACGUUAAUUAGGUGGUUGUCUCUGUAAAUUUAUUUAUUUUUAUUUUCUUUACUUUGUCUUACCCUGAAUUAGACCUUAAUGCUGAGUUUCCUUUUAAGCUCAGUCAAGAAUAAAAGAACCCUUAUUUGUUAGA